Small nucleolar RNA from Rattus norvegicus (Norway rat), 131 nucleotides. NCBI's taxonomy places the organism in Eukaryota, Metazoa, Chordata, Mammalia, Rodentia, Muridae. The record is from Ensembl.
CUCCAAAGUGUUGAGUUCAGUUCAGGGCAACUUCCCUGUUCUGUUAAUUAAACUUUGGGACAUUGAAAUUGGCUGAGGGAAAUUACUGAAUAGAGAAUAUUACUCUAUUCGUAUACUUCUAGCCUACAUAA